RNAcentral lists this ribosomal RNA (327 nucleotides) under uncultured bacterium. RNAcentral's name for it is "bacterial SSU rRNA". It matches the Rfam family "Bacterial small subunit ribosomal RNA", at positions 8 to 334 of the family's 1533-position model. The record is from RNAcentral.
AGGGUUCGAUCCUGGCUCAGGAUGAACGCUGGCGGCGUGCCUAAUACAUGCAAGUCGAACGGGUUGCCAUAAGGCAACCAGUGGCGAACGGGUGAGGAGCACAUGGGGAACCUGCCCGUCAGAGGGGGACAACAGCUGGAAACGGCUGCUAAGACCGCAUAGGCUCAAGGAGGGCAUCCUCGUUGAGUUAAAGUGUCCUUUCGGGGACAGCUGACGGAUGGACCUGUGGCGCAUUAGCCAGUUGGCGGGGUAAAGGCCCACCAAAGCGACGAUGCGUAGCCGGCCUGAGAGGGCGGACGGCCACACUGGGACUGAGACACGGCCCAG